Molecule: ribosomal RNA, 616 nt
Filed under: uncultured bacterium
Lineage: Bacteria
Description: bacterial SSU rRNA
Rfam family: Bacterial small subunit ribosomal RNA (bases 1-535)
Source: RNAcentral
CCUACGGGAGGCAGCAGUAAGGAAUAUUGGUCAAUGGACGCAAGUCUGAACCAGCCAUGCCGCGUGAAGGAUUAAGGUCCUCUGGAUUGUAAACUUCUUUUAUUUGGGACGAAAAAGGGCCUUUCUAGGUCAACUGACGGUACCAGAUGAAUAAGCACCGGCUAACUCCGUGCCAGCAGCCGCGGUAAUACGGAGGGUGCAAGCGUUAUCCGGAUUCACUGGGUUUAAAGGGUGCGUAGGCGGGUAGGUAAGUCAGUGGUGAAAUCCUGGAGCUCAACUCCAGAACUGCCAUUGAUACUAUUUAUCUUGAAUAUUGUGGAGGUAAGCGGAAUAUGUCAUGUAGCGGUGAAAUGCUUAGAUAUGACAUAGAACACCUAUUGCGAAGGCAGCUUACUACGCAUAUAUUGACGCUGAGGCACGAAAGCGUGGGGAUCAAACAGGAUUAGAUACCCUGGUAGUCCACGCCCUAAACCUAUGAUUACUCGACAUUUGUGAUACACAAUAAGUGUNUGNGNGAAGANAUAAGUAAUACACCNGGAGUACGUCCGCGAGAGAGAACGUACAAUAGAGUAGUACGGACGUGAGACGNGCCGACGGACGACGACGAGGGAGGAGG